GAGCGGUAUUGUUUCUUCGGAAACGAGAGAGCGGCGCACGGGUGCGGAACACGUGUGCAACCUGCCUUUAUCUGGGGGAUAGCCUUUCGAAAGGAAGAUUAAUACCCCAUAAUAUUUUGAAUGGCAUCAUUUAAAAUUGAAAACUCCGGUGGAUAGAGAUGGGCACGCGCAAGAUUAGAUAGUUGGUAGGGUAACGGCCUACCAAGUCAGUGAUCUUUAGAGGGCCUGAGAGGGUGAUCCCCCACACUGGUACUGAGACACGGACCAGACUCCUACGGGAGGCAGCAGUGAGGAAUAUUGGACAAUGGGUGAGAGCCUGAUCCAGCCAUCCCGCGUGAAGGACGACGGCCCUAUGGGUUGUAAACUUCUUUUGUACAGGGAUAAACCUUUCCACGUGUGGAAAGCUGAAGGUACUGUACGAAUAAGCACCGGCUAACUCCGUG
Molecule: ribosomal RNA, 443 nt
Filed under: uncultured bacterium
Lineage: Bacteria
Description: bacterial SSU rRNA
Rfam family: Bacterial small subunit ribosomal RNA
Source: RNAcentral